This 454-nucleotide ribosomal RNA is filed under the name uncultured bacterium. RNAcentral's name for it is "bacterial SSU rRNA". It matches the Rfam family "Bacterial small subunit ribosomal RNA", at positions 340 to 786 of the family's 1533-position model. The record is from RNAcentral.
UACGGAAGGCAGCAGUGGGGAAUAUUGCACAAUGGGCGCAAGCCUGAUGCAGCCAUGCCGCGUGUAUGAAGAAGGCCUUCGGGUUGUAAAGUACUUUCAGUCGUGAGGAAGGUGUUAAGGUUAAUAACCUUAGCAAUUGACGUUAGCGACAGAAGAAGCACCGGCUAACUCCGUGCCAGCAGCCGCGGUAAUACGGAGGGUGCGAGCGUUAAUCGGAAUUACUGGGCGUAAAGGGCACGCAGGCGGUUAAUUAAGUUGGAUGUGAAAUCCCCGGGCUUAACCUGGGAAUGGCAUUCAAGACUGGUUAGCUAGAGUCUUGUAGAGGGGGUAGAAUUCCGAUGUGUAGCGGUGAAAUGCGUAGAGAUGUGGAGGAAUACCGGUGGCGAAGGCGGCCCCUGGACAAAGGCUGACGCUCAUGUGCGAAAGCGUGGGGAGCAAACAGGGAUUAGAUACC